RNAcentral lists this ribosomal RNA (421 nucleotides) under uncultured Bifidobacterium sp. RNAcentral's name for it is "bacterial SSU rRNA". It matches the Rfam family "Bacterial small subunit ribosomal RNA", at positions 148 to 580 of the family's 1533-position model. Lineage: Bacteria; Bacillati; Actinomycetota; Actinomycetes; Bifidobacteriales; Bifidobacteriaceae. The record is from RNAcentral.
UCCUGGAAACGGGUGGUAAUGCCGGAUGUGCCGGGCUCCUGCAUGGGGGUCCGGGAAAGCUCUGGCGGCGUGGGAUGGGGUCGCGUCCUAUCAGCUUGUUGGCGGGGUGAGGGCCCACCAAGGCUUCGACGGGUAGCCGGCCUGAGAGGGCGACCGGCCACAUUGGGACUGAGAUACGGCCCAGACUCCUACGGGAGGCAGCAGUGGGGAAUAUUGCACAAUGGGCGCAAGCCUGAUGCAGCGACGCCGCGUGCGGGAUGGAGGCCUUCGGGUUGUAAACCGCUUUUGUUUGGGAGCAAGCCCUUCGGGGUGAGUGUACCUUUCGAAUAAGCACCGGCUAACUACGUGCCAGCAGCCGCGGUAAUACGUAGGGUGCGAGCGUUAUCCGGAUUUAUUGGGCGUAAAGGGCUCGUAGGCGGUU